UACGUAGGGUGCAAGCGUUAUUCGGAAUUACUGGGCGUAAAGCGUGCGCAGGCGGUUUUGUAAGUCUGUCGUGAAAGCCCCGGGCUCAACCUGGGAAUUGCGAUGGAGACUGCAAGGCUUGAAUCUGGCAGAGGGGGGUAGAAUUCCACGUGUAGCAGUGAAAUGCGUAGAUAUGUGGAGGAACACCGAUGGCGAAGGCAGCCCCCUGGGUCAAGACUGACGCUCAUGCACGAAAGCGUGGGGAGCAAACGGG
RNAcentral lists this ribosomal RNA (253 nucleotides) under uncultured bacterium. Its description in RNAcentral is "partial 16S ribosomal RNA". It matches the Rfam family "Bacterial small subunit ribosomal RNA", at positions 524 to 776 of the family's 1533-position model. The record is from RNAcentral.